Molecule: ribosomal RNA, 782 nt
Filed under: uncultured Neocallimastigales
Lineage: Eukaryota; Fungi; Neocallimastigomycota; Neocallimastigomycetes; Neocallimastigales
Description: partial large subunit ribosomal RNA
Rfam family: Eukaryotic large subunit ribosomal RNA
Source: RNAcentral
ACACUGACGUCGCGACGCAUAUCAAUAAGCGGAGGAAAAGAAACUAACAAGGAUUCCCCUAGUAACGGCGAGUGAAGCGGGAAGAGCUCAAAUUUGAAAUCUUCAAGGUUUGACCUUGACGAAUUGUAGUUUAAAGAAGUGUUUUCUGUUGGAGUUUUGGUAAAAGUUCUUUGGAAUAGGACAUCAUAGAGGGUGAGAAUCCCGUAUUUGGUCAUUCCUUCUAGCUUUGUGAUACACUUUCAAAGAGUCGGAUUGUUUGGGAAUGCAGUCCAAAAUGGGUGGUAAAUUUCAUCUAAAGCUAAAUAUUGGCGAGAGACCGAUAGCGAACAAGUACCGUGAGGGAAAGAUGAAAAGAACUUUGAAAAGAGAGUUAAACAGUACGUGAAAUUGUCAAAAGGGAAGCGUUUGACACCAGUGUUGUUUUUCCGAAAAUCAAUUAUAAAUGUUUUGUUUCUGAGGAGUGAUGACCUCAUCGGCUUCCUUCUCUCUUCACGAAACUUUUGUAAUGCACUUUUCGGUUAACAAGUCAACAUCAAUUUCUUUUGUUGUAAAAGAGUAUUCGGAAGGUGGCUUUAUUUUCGGCUGAAAGUGUUUAUAGCCCUAUACUUCCCUACAAGUCGGAGAGAUUGAGGUCUGCAGCGUAGAUCCUUCGGGGCUAGAUACACUUUGUGCUAAGUUAUAGCCUUUUCAUAGACAACUUGUUGACUAUGAUUCAGUCAUGUAGGCUUACUCGCUUAUGCUAUUUUACCUACGCUUAGGAUGUUGAGUCGUAGAGCACGCAG